RNAcentral lists this transfer RNA (73 nucleotides) under Trichonephila inaurata madagascariensis. RNAcentral's name for it is "tRNA-Val". It matches the Rfam family "tRNA". Rfam says of the family: Transfer RNA (tRNA) molecules are approximately 80 nucleotides in length. The record is from RNAcentral. Lineage: Eukaryota; Metazoa; Arthropoda; Arachnida; Araneae; Nephilidae.
GGUUCCGUAGUGUAGUGGUUAUCACGUUCGCUUCACAGCGAAAAAGGGCUCCGUUUGAUCCCGGACGGAACCA